This 248-nucleotide ribosomal RNA is filed under the name uncultured bacterium. RNAcentral's name for it is "partial 16S ribosomal RNA". It matches the Rfam family "Bacterial small subunit ribosomal RNA", at positions 529 to 776 of the family's 1533-position model. The record is from RNAcentral.
ACCGUGCAAACGUUGUUCGGACUCACUGGGCUUAAAGGGCGCGUAGGCGGGCCAUCAAGUCAGGGGUGAAAUCUUUCGGCUCAACCGGAAAAGUGCCUUUGAUACUGGUGGUCUCGAGGGAGGUAGGGGCAUGCGGAACUUCCGGUGGAGCGGUGAAAUGCGUAGAUAUCGGAAGGAACGCCGGUGGCGAAAGCGGCGUGCUGGACCUCUUCUGACGCUGAGGCGCGAAAGCUAGGGGAGCAAACGGG